AUUUGGGGAAUAUUGCACAAUGGGGGGAACCCUGAUGCAGCCAUGCCGCGUGUAUGAAGAAGGCCUUCGGGUUGUAAAGUACUUUCAGUUGUGAGGAAGGCGUUAAAGUUAAUAGCUUUAGCGUUUGACGUUAGCAACAGAAGAAGCACCGGCUAACUCCGUGCCAGCAGCCGCGGUAAU
Molecule: ribosomal RNA, 180 nt
Filed under: Photobacterium sp. 8(shui)
Lineage: Bacteria; Pseudomonadati; Pseudomonadota; Gammaproteobacteria; Vibrionales; Vibrionaceae
Description: partial 16S ribosomal RNA
Rfam family: Bacterial small subunit ribosomal RNA
Source: RNAcentral